UGUUGAAAUUGUGUCGACUUUUCAGCUCAGUUUUGUCCCAGUUUUUGACUUUUUGUGCUGGUGUGAAACACAUUAUUGUCGCCGCUGCUCUGCUGUUCUGGACUGAGACAGUUUAAUUUUCCACGGCUGAACUCUGCCGAGCAGCUUAAGUAGUGAAAGGGAUUUCAAAUAAAACUCCCGAGCCAAGUCUGCUGCGUUCACUUACUCAUGUUUGCGUUCGCGGCUGUGGCUCCGAGUGGGUGACAUAAUAUUUGACAUGAGGUGCCAAGUGUGAGAAAGUGAGUGUGUGUUUUGUUCUCCUCAGGCUGUGGAGGCAUUAAAGCAACUGGCUGGAUUGGUUGAGAGCCUGUCGACUGAUGGGUCCGAGCAGAUGUACAGCUCUGCGCCGUCGGUGUGUGUGGGAUGUGGGAUAAAUCAGUCAUGUCUCUCAGUAAUAUCUGCUUCCUUUGCUCCUGUGGAGACGCUCGGCGGGUCGCUUCACAUCUCCACAGCUCCGGAUGGAAAGGAAAUAAAACACAGGAGACCAGCUGGAGAACUUCCCGAAAGAGAAGCAUGAAACUUUCUCUUUUGGACCAGGAAUGCUAAAGAAGAGCUCCUAUGACACCCAGGAUGGUUUCGUGCGUCAUCACAGCUCGGUUCAUGUCGGGAGAUCUGACCGAAAUCUCAGGGAGCUGGACAAGGUUUCUGCAGAUUGAGGCUUCAUCUACAGUCCUGAUGAGCAAAUCUGGGAGAAACAAGUA
Long non-coding RNA from Amphiprion ocellaris (clown anemonefish), 740 nucleotides. RefSeq lists it as uncharacterized. The transcript has 5 exons. The record is from RefSeq and is a predicted model, not a curated record. NCBI's taxonomy places the organism in Eukaryota, Metazoa, Chordata, Actinopteri, Pomacentridae.